Molecule: ribosomal RNA, 482 nt
Filed under: uncultured bacterium
Lineage: Bacteria
Description: partial 16S ribosomal RNA
Rfam family: Bacterial small subunit ribosomal RNA
Source: RNAcentral
GACGAACGCUGGCGGCGUGCCUAACACAUGCAAGUCGAACGGAACUGUUUUGAAAGAUUUCUUCGGAAUGAAUUUGAUUUAGUUUAGUGGCGGACGGGUGAGUAACGCGUGAGUAACCUGCCUUCAAGAGGGGAAUAACAUUCUGAAAAGAAUGCUAAUACCGCAUGACAUAUCGGAACCACAUGGUUUUGAUAUCAAAGAUUUUAUCGCUUGAAGAUGGACUCGCGUCCGAUUAGUUAGUUGGUGAGGUAACGGCUCACCAAGACCGCGAUCGGUAGCCGGACUGAGAGGUUGAACGGCCACAUUGGGACUGAGACACGGCCCAGACUCCUACGGGAGGCAGCAGUGGGGGAUAUUGCGCAAUGGGGGCAACCCUGACGCAGCAACGCCGCGUGAAGGAUGAAGGUUUUCGGAUUGUAAACUUCUUUUAUUAAGGACGAAAAAUGACGGUACUUAAUGAAUAAGCUCCGGCUAUCUACGUG